UUUUUAGUAUUUGGCUCUGGAACCUUUUGUUCCAGCAGCAUUUUUAGUCUUUUGCCUAUGUAGUCGCUUUAAUUAAGAAGAGAGAGAGUAUCAAAUUGUAACCUCACAAUGGAGAUUUUUCUCCUAUAACCGCUACUAAAGCGGUGUAAGUACGGGGAUCAACGUACGAAUCCAUCAUUUCAUGGGUUCAUGAACGUGUGUCUUUAAGCCGCUGAGACGCCUCUGAAUCGAUGGCCGUCCUAGAAGCUUGGGGUAUGCUGUCUCCUGUCCAUCUGGACGUGUAGAGCUCGAUCACCGAGCCUAGAUUCAAUUUGAAGAAACAGCUAUGAGUGUUGCAUCAAAGACCACCAAGUCUUGUGAAUGGCGAUUUUGCGUUUGAUUGAGCUGAUAGACGAUGGCUGCAGUGUUGAGUCUUGAUGUUGUCCGUGAUGCUGAUCUUCAAUAGCGGGUCUGGUGAGCCAACAUACUGUAAGGUUGGUGCCGAGACAAACUUUGUCUAUCCUUUAUUAUAUUGUUUGAGAUGUUCAUCUAUCAAAAUUUAGUUAUCUGAUUAGUACUGGAAUUUCAGUUGUUUGAUAAUAUUUCAUUGUUAGGGUCAGUAAUGUGCUAUAAAAGUGUAGGGUGUAUUUUGUGGUCUGGCGUUGUAAAGAGAGUUGUCAGACGUGAUAGGGUUUGUUAACGUUUCCUUUAGGCUGUGGUAAUUUUUUUUGAGCUAAGAUAGGUAGAUGUGAGAAAUCUUAUCUGUUGAAGUUGUAGUUUUGUUUGAUGAAUUAAGUAUCUGGAGUGAGUGUCGCCAGUUGUAAGGGGCACUACUCAGAUGAGGUCCAUAUGACAAAUCAAGGUUAAUAGCUGGGACUAUCCUUGUUGUAUUUGUGGAAUGGAAGAUAGAAUUUUAGCAAAAGGUACUCAGAGUAGUAUGAGCUAAAAUUAGGUUUUAUUCUGGUGACUGGUGUGGUUCCUUUCUGAAGAUUUAUGGGGGUCUGAAGAAAAUAGAUGGAAUGCUAACCAAGAUCGGGUUUUUUUUUGAAAUUUUAGGGUAAGCCUCAGUUGAAAGGUUCGUUAGAUUGAUAGCUGGGAAUGGCCACAAUACACUGUCAAAAUUUAUUAUCUAAUUUCUUGGGAUAAAAUUUAUCUAAAUAAUGUGGGUAGUGAAAAUCUAAAGUUUUAUUUAUUAGGAAAAGAGGUU
Long non-coding RNA from Nilaparvata lugens (brown planthopper), 1186 nucleotides. RefSeq lists it as uncharacterized. The transcript has 3 exons. Lineage: Eukaryota; Metazoa; Arthropoda; Insecta; Hemiptera; Delphacidae. The record is from RefSeq and is a predicted model, not a curated record.